This 1337-nucleotide ribosomal RNA is filed under the name Staphylococcus aureus. RNAcentral's name for it is "bacterial LSU rRNA". It matches the Rfam family "Bacterial large subunit ribosomal RNA", at positions 1582 to 2925 of the family's 2925-position model. RNAcentral also lists the same sequence under 77 other names. Lineage: Bacteria; Bacillati; Bacillota; Bacilli; Caryophanales; Staphylococcaceae. The record is from RNAcentral.
GUCUUCGAGUCGUUGAUUUCACACUGCCGAGAAAAGCCUCUAGAUAGAAAAUAGGUGCCCGUACCGCAAACCGACACAGGUAGUCAAGAUGAGAAUUCUAAGGUGAGCGAGCGAACUCUCGUUAAGGAACUCGGCAAAAUGACCCCGUAACUUCGGGAGAAGGGGUGCUCUUUAGGGUUAACGCCCAGAAGAGCCGCAGUGAAUAGGCCCAAGCGACUGUUUAUCAAAAACACAGGUCUCUGCUAAACCGUAAGGUGAUGUAUAGGGGCUGACGCCUGCCCGGUGCUGGAAGGUUAAGAGGAGUGGUUAGCUUCUGCGAAGCUACGAAUCGAAGCCCCAGUAAACGGCGGCCGUAACUAUAACGGUCCUAAGGUAGCGAAAUUCCUUGUCGGGUAAGUUCCGACCCGCACGAAAGGCGUAACGAUUUGGGCACUGUCUCAACGAGAGACUCGGUGAAAUCAUAGUACCUGUGAAGAUGCAGGUUACCCGCGACAGGACGGAAAGACCCCGUGGAGCUUUACUGUAGCCUGAUAUUGAAAUUCGGCACAGCUUGUACAGGAUAGGUAGGAGCCUUUGAAACGUGAGCGCUAGCUUACGUGGAGGCGCUGGUGGGAUACUACCCUAGCUGUGUUGGCUUUCUAACCCGCACCACUUAUCGUGGUGGGAGACAGUGUCAGGCGGGCAGUUUGACUGGGGCGGUCGCCUCCUAAAAGGUAACGGAGGCGCUCAAAGGUUCCCUCAGAAUGGUUGGAAAUCAUUCAUAGAGUGUAAAGGCAUAAGGGAGCUUGACUGCGAGACCUACAAGUCGAGCAGGGUCGAAAGACGGACUUAGUGAUCCGGUGGUUCCGCAUGGAAGGGCCAUCGCUCAACGGAUAAAAGCUACCCCGGGGAUAACAGGCUUAUCUCCCCCAAGAGUUCACAUCGACGGGGAGGUUUGGCACCUCGAUGUCGGCUCAUCGCAUCCUGGGGCUGUAGUCGGUCCCAAGGGUUGGGCUGUUCGCCCAUUAAAGCGGUACGCGAGCUGGGUUCAGAACGUCGUGAGACAGUUCGGUCCCUAUCCGUCGUGGGCGUAGGAAAUUUGAGAGGAGCUGUCCUUAGUACGAGAGGACCGGGAUGGACAUACCUCUGGUGUACCAGUUGUCGUGCCAACGGCAUAGCUGGGUAGCUAUGUGUGGACGGGAUAAGUGCUGAAAGCAUCUAAGCAUGAAGCCCCCCUCAAGAUGAGAUUUCCCAACUUCGGUUAUAAGAUCCCUCAAAGAUGAUGAGGUUAAUAGGUUCGAGGUGGAAGCAUGGUGACAUGUGGAGCUGACGAAUACUAAUCGAUCGAAGACUUAAUC